GAUGAACGCUGGCGGCGUGCCUAACACAUGCAAGUCGAGCGGAGUCCAGCCUUAGAGACCUUCGGGUCAAAGAGGGGAAGACUGAGUGGCGGACGGGUGAGUAACACGUGGGCAACCUGGCUCAUAGAGGGGGAUAACAGAGAGAAAUUUCUGCUAAUACCGCAUAAGCACACACUGCCGCAUGGCAGAGUGUGAAAAGAGAAUCGCUAUGAGAUGGACCCGCGUCUGAUUAGCCAGUUGGCAGGGUAAGAGCCUACCAAAGCGACGAUCAGUAGCCGAUUUGAGAGGAUGAACGGCCACAUUGGGACUGAGACACGGCCCAAACUCCUACGGGAGGCAGCAGUGGGGGAUAUUGCACAAUGGGGGGAACCCUGAUGCAGCGACGCCGCGUGAGUGAAGAAGUAUUUCGGUAUGUAAAGCUCUAUCAGCAGGGAAGAUAAUGACAGUACCUGAAUAAGAAGCCCCGGCUAACUACGUG
Molecule: ribosomal RNA, 478 nt
Filed under: uncultured bacterium
Lineage: Bacteria
Description: partial 16S ribosomal RNA
Rfam family: Bacterial small subunit ribosomal RNA
Source: RNAcentral